UGACAUCUGACCUCAAAUCAGGUAGGACUACCCGCUGAACUUAAGCAUAUCAUAGG
This 56-nucleotide ribosomal RNA is filed under the name Amauroderma partitum. Its description in RNAcentral is "partial 28S ribosomal RNA". Lineage: Eukaryota; Fungi; Basidiomycota; Agaricomycetes; Polyporales; Polyporaceae. The record is from RNAcentral.